GAUGAAGAACGUAGCGAAAUGCGAUAAGUAAUGCGAAUUGCAGAAUUCAGUGAGUCAUCGAAUCUUUGAACGCACAUUGCGCCCUGUGGUAUUCCGCAGGGCAUGCCUGUUCGAGCGUCAUUUCAACCCUCAAGCUCUGCUUGGUGUUGGGCCCUGCCCGCUGCGGCCGGCCCUAAAGACAGUGGCGGUGCCGCCUGGCCCUGAGCGUAAUACAUCUCUCGCUCCAGUGCCCGGUGGUAGCCUGCCAGAACCCCAACUCUCGUGGUUGACCUCGGAUCAGGUAGGGAUACCCGCUGAACUUAAGCAUAUCAAUAAGCGGAGGA
This 323-nucleotide unclassified non-coding RNA is filed under the name soil metagenome. RNAcentral describes it as "partial contains 5.8S ribosomal RNA, internal transcribed spacer 2, and large subunit ribosomal RNA". The stretch from base 1 to 120 matches the Rfam family "5.8S ribosomal RNA", at positions 35 to 154 of the family's 154-position model. The record is from RNAcentral.